GAUUAACGCUGGCGGCGUGCAUAACACAUGCAAGUCGAACGAUGAAACUUAAAUGAUUUCUUCGGAAUGAACUUAAGUGGAUUAGUGGCGGACGGGUGAGUAACGCGUGAGUAACCUGCCUUACACAAGGGGAUAGCCGUUGGAAACGACGAAUAAUGCCCUAUGAAACUAUCACUUCGCAUGAAGCGAUAGUCAAAGUGUUAGCGGUGUAAGAUGGACUUGCGUCUGAUUAGCUAGUUGGUGAGAAAAAAGCCCACCAAGGCAACGAUCAGUAGCCGGCUUGAGAGAGUGUACGGCCACAUUGGGACUGAGACACGGCCCAGACUCCUACGGGAGGCAGCAGUGGGGAAUUUUGCACAAUGGGGGAAACCCUGAUGCAGCGACGCCGCGUGAUUUAGAAGGCCUUCGGGUUGUAAAAAUCUUUUGUAUAGGAAGAAAAUGACAGUACUAUACGAAUAAGGUCCGGCUAAUUACGUG
Molecule: ribosomal RNA, 477 nt
Filed under: uncultured bacterium
Lineage: Bacteria
Description: partial 16S ribosomal RNA
Rfam family: Bacterial small subunit ribosomal RNA
Source: RNAcentral